UACGUAGGGUGCAAGCGUUGUCCGGAAUUAUUGGGCGUAAAGAGCUCGUAGGCGGUUUGUCGCGUCUGCUGUGAAAACUCGGGGCUUAACCCCGGGCCUGCAGUGGGUACGGGCAGACUAGAGUGCGGUAGGGGAGACUGGAAUUCCUGGUGUAGCGGUGAAAUGCGCAGAUAUCAGGAGGAACACCGGUGGCGAAGGCGGGUCUCUGGGCCGUAACUGACGCUAAGGAGCGAAAGCGUGGGGAGCGAACAGG
This 253-nucleotide ribosomal RNA is filed under the name uncultured bacterium. RNAcentral's name for it is "partial 16S ribosomal RNA". It matches the Rfam family "Bacterial small subunit ribosomal RNA", at positions 524 to 776 of the family's 1533-position model. The record is from RNAcentral.